GAAAAAUAGCUAGCGUUUGUUUUAUUUGGUAUGUAUAUUUGCUACUAUAUCAUAAGACACACGCGGCUAUUUUCA
This 75-nucleotide microRNA precursor is filed under the name Anopheles sinensis. RNAcentral's name for it is "mir-970 microRNA precursor family". It matches the Rfam family "mir-970 microRNA precursor family". Lineage: Eukaryota; Metazoa; Arthropoda; Insecta; Diptera; Culicidae. The record is from Rfam by way of RNAcentral.